CGGCUCUUCCAUCCUGGGGCAUGUAAACCAAUGUCGAGCCCCGGGCCAGCAGCGCGCAGACAGUGACUGAGCCAGCCUGGCUGAUCGGGGGCGUCUUCGGAUGCCCUCGGGGGCGGGGUAGCACCCGCCGCGGAGGCGCACGGCGUGUACCUCCGCAGCCGGCGGCUCCACACCG
This 175-nucleotide small nucleolar RNA is filed under the name Chlamydomonas reinhardtii. RNAcentral's name for it is "CrACA32f snoRNA". The record is from RNAcentral. Lineage: Eukaryota; Viridiplantae; Chlorophyta; Chlorophyceae; Chlamydomonadales; Chlamydomonadaceae.